This 177-nucleotide unclassified non-coding RNA is filed under the name uncultured fungus. Its description in RNAcentral is "sequence contains ITS1". The record is from RNAcentral. Lineage: Eukaryota; Fungi.
UGACGACCAUCGAUUGCAGCGCACGGACGCUGGGCCAAACGUCGGCGCGGCUGCUGCUGCAACGCCUCAAGGCGCCCGAGUCCUGGCAGCCGCAAACCAUCACGCUUCCACAUACCCUGGUCUGCCGCGCGUCGACCUAGUGCAAUUGCAGAUUGCAGAUUGCAGAUUGUAUCUAGG